UGUGUCACAAGGUGACGAUCUCUUGGGCGGAACCAAAAGUCGGGAAACUUUGGUUCCGCCCGGAUGUUUCCGCCCAGACCGAAGAACGGAAACACCGGACAUCCGGCAGAUUCGCGGAGGCUGUAAUCAGCCGAUUGGGCACAGCUGUGCCUAGUUGAAGAGAUCGCUGGGCAAUUGGAUGACUGAAGUACAGAGAGGAGUAUAUAAAGCACAGUUAGAUCACAGUUCGGGAGUUCGGGCACGAGAGGGGGAUUGACACGGGGAGAGCUCCUCUGCUUAGGGCAGGAGAGGUAACUACGUACCUUUUGAAGAGCCCGCAGGCUCUGUUGAUCCGGGCUGCGCUUGAAGCGCGCGGAAAGAAGACAGGAGCUGCCUGGGGUGAAAGAAAGGCGAUACGUGAGUGGAGAAAAGGAGCACCCCGAAGAGAGCAUUGUGCUGUCAAGCCUGUGCUUAGUGUGUGCUGGGAAACGGAGCUGUGCUCAUUUUUGGACGUGGUGGCUGUCUGUGUUUCUCUCUCUCUCUCUCGUUGCAGUCUUUAUUGUGGACCUGCUGGAGUAGACAGGAAAGUCCUAUGGGUAAGAAGGAACUUUGUUCUAACCAAUACUGAAGGAGUAAAGCAGGAAGAAAAUUGACCGUCUGGUACAACGUAAAUAAAGGCUAUCCGCCGUGAGUAUACCCUUUUUGUGUGGAGUAACUGGCAAAAAUUAACUUGUGUAACCAUUGGAAACCUCCAGGAGAAGGAGGGCGGCCCUACCCCUACAAGAGUGUGGUGGGCGAGCCGUUAGAAGUACAAAUUCAAGCAGCCACCGCAACGAGACUUAUUGUGGUCGUAUUUCCCAUCGCCUUACCGUAGCCCAAGCGCAGUGGAGGACACCGGGCGCUUCCCUUGUUGUGGUGCACUUAUAGUGUGGUGAGUGAGACUGUGUAAUAAAUCUUUUCACGUUGGAGUGGUACUGUGUAUUUGCUGCGGGUUGCUGUGUGUCUUGUAGACGAAGCCCCGCAUCAUCCAUUUUCUUCCACUGGGCAGAGGACGGAGAGGCCAACGACUACAGAAACCACUGUUACUAUAAAUAGUGUGCUGUUUGGAGUACGAAGGGACGCAGACUAAGAGCUGUCCGUGACCGUGAGUAAACCAUUGGAAACAUUCGUGGUGUGAACUUACCUGUGUCUGUUUUGUCGCAGAGUCAGAGGCGAAAGGGUCCGCCGCCCCGUGGUCUCUACGAAAAGGGCGCCCCCGUCUAGGAAUCGAUCGGCCUAUGGGCAUUGGAGAUAGGGCAGCGCUCGACCCGGUGAGGUGGUGUGUGACCUUCGCCCCUCUGCUGACUUACAGAGAAGAACCAUACUUACCCAGAAAGCUGUAAACAGCAGAGCCGCGGCCACCUGUGGAGAGAGAGCAGAACGAGAGUGAAAAAUAGAAGAACAAACUGUGAACGUGAUACCUACCCAGAAAGCUGUAAACAGCAGAGCCGUGGCCUCCUGUGGAGAGAACGGAAAACGAGAAGGAACAUGAGGAGAAUGGACUGUGUGAAGAUACAGUGGUGGUGGAGGAGAGCCUAGAGUGGCCAUUGUUUUAAGUCCCCCGUUUCCCCUUCCCUAUUUAAUAUUUUUAAGUAAUUUAAUAAAGGAUAUUUUAAUUUUA
Molecule: long non-coding RNA, 1639 nt
Organism: Paramisgurnus dabryanus
Lineage: Eukaryota; Metazoa; Chordata; Actinopteri; Cypriniformes; Cobitidae
Source: RefSeq, a predicted model, not a curated record